GAUGAACGCUGGCGGCGUGCCUAAUACAUGCAAGUCGAGCGAACAGACGAGGAGCUUGCUCCUCUGACGUUAGCGGCGGACGGGUGAGUAACACGUGGAUAACCUACCUAUAAGACUGGGAUAACUUCGGGAAACCGGAGCUAAUACCGGAUAAUAUAUUGAACCGCAUGGUUCAAUAGUGAAAGACGGUUUUGCUGUCACUUAUAGAUGGAUCCGCGCCGCAUUAGCUAGUUGGUAAGGUAACGGCUUACCAAGGCGACGAUGCGUAGCCGACCUGAGAGGGUGAUCGGCCACACUGGAACUGAGACACGGUCCAGACUCCUACGGGAGGCAGCAGUAGGGAAUCUUCCGCAAUGGGCGAAAGCCUGACGGAGCAACGCCGCGUGAGUGAUGAAGGUCUUCGGAUCGUAAAACUCUGUUAUUAGGGAAGAACAAAUGUGUAAGUAACGAUGCACGUCUUGACGGUACCUAAUCAGAAAGCCACGGCUAACUACGUG
This 497-nucleotide ribosomal RNA is filed under the name uncultured bacterium. Its description in RNAcentral is "partial 16S ribosomal RNA". It matches the Rfam family "Bacterial small subunit ribosomal RNA", at positions 28 to 507 of the family's 1533-position model. The record is from RNAcentral.